RNAcentral lists this ribosomal RNA (256 nucleotides) under uncultured bacterium. Its description in RNAcentral is "partial 16S ribosomal RNA". It matches the Rfam family "Bacterial small subunit ribosomal RNA", at positions 338 to 611 of the family's 1533-position model. The record is from RNAcentral.
CCUACGGGGCGCAGCAGUGAGGAAUAUUGGUCAAUGGACGCAAGUCUGAACCAGCCAUGCCGCGUGAGUGAAGAAGUAUUUCGGUAUGUAAAGCUCUAUCAGCAGGGAAGAAAAUGACGGUACCUGACUAAGAAGCCCCGGCUAACUACGUGCCAGCAGCCGCGGUAAUACGUAGGGGGCAAGCGUUAUCCGGAUUUACUGGGUGUAAAGGGAGCGUAGACGGCAGAGCAAGUCUGAAGUGAAAGCCCUCGGCCCA